AAAAAGAGUUAUGGCAGACAAAGAAAAAAUGACAAAAGAAAAAAGAGAUAUAAAGAUAGAGAAGGUGGCAGACAAAGAGAUAGAAAUCUUUGAAAAAAUAUAAAAAUUAAGAGAUAAGAUUCCUUUGUACAGUAAAUAACUUUUGCUUUUUUGAAAGUUCAAUGUGUAUAGCCGGCCAUUUGUAAAGUUUUAUUUAAAAAGUCGUAAAGUAUACAGUAGACGCAUUUAUGUGCAGGCUUAGGAUUUAGUAUAUAUAGAUUGUCAAAUUGUAAAUAAAAG
This 279-nucleotide unclassified non-coding RNA is filed under the name Hevea brasiliensis (rubber tree). The record is from RNAcentral. Lineage: Eukaryota; Viridiplantae; Streptophyta; Magnoliopsida; Malpighiales; Euphorbiaceae.